Molecule: long non-coding RNA, 318 nt
Filed under: Sorghum bicolor (sorghum)
Lineage: Eukaryota; Viridiplantae; Streptophyta; Magnoliopsida; Poales; Poaceae
Description: long non-coding RNA (SBIC_LNC000407)
Source: RNAcentral
AUGCUCAUGUGGAGUCUAACAGAAUUAGAUUUUAUAUUUUAUGAUUUUUAUGUAAUUUACUAUGAUUUUUCAAAUAUUUAGCCAAAAUAAAUAAAAAAAGAAAAAGACAAAACCUUUAUAGCAAAAACUUAGUACUAAAUCAUACCAUAUUAUAUGUUCAUUGUGUAGAUCUACUUAUGUGGAGUCCAACAGAAUUGGAUUUUAUAUUUUAUAUUUUUUCUAUGAUUUACUAUGAUUUUUCAAAAAUUCAGCCGAAAUACUUAAAAAAUAAAAAGAUAAAACCACCAUUACUGUAGCAAAACCGUCUUUGAAAUCGCU